Long non-coding RNA from Populus euphratica (Euphrates poplar), 754 nucleotides. RefSeq lists it as uncharacterized. The transcript is spliced from 2 exons. The record is from RefSeq and is a predicted model, not a curated record. NCBI's taxonomy places the organism in Eukaryota, Viridiplantae, Streptophyta, Magnoliopsida, Malpighiales, Salicaceae.
GAAGGAGACAAUAAUUGUAUUUCAGGAAGCUGCUGUGGAAACAACAAGGAAUCAGUUGCUCUCUCCACUGAGAACUUGGAACAAAGACCAAAUGGUGUAUUGGGAGUAAUUGGAAUCUCCAAUUCUACUGUUAGAAGCGAUGAGUCUCCACUUUUGACUAAAGAUAUCGUCAUGAGGAUGAACCCUGUUAAUGAAAGGCCAAAGAAGUCACGUGGUCGCGUUUUCUCUGACAGAGUCUUGAAGUAUCGGCCUUCAUUUUAUGUAAUUGCUCUUAUUGCUGUUUGUUUUGGAGUAUGCGCCCUUGUUCUGCACCCUCAUAAGGUUAGCAAACUCGCAGUAUCUAUACGCAGGUGCUUGACAGACAGGUUUUAGAUGUCCAAUAAAUCCAGACUAAAAUGCCAUCUCUUGAUCACUGGCUCUGUACAUCCCCUUUUCACUGUUAGAUUAAAUUGACCCCCCUGAAGCUCAAGGAUGGGGUUCAAUUCCUGACUUUGAGUGUCCAAGCUGCUAUUUCUCCAUACUGCCUUGAUCUUGCCCUUGUAGGCGUAUCAAGAUAGAACCGCGGCCUUCCCGAGAGGUGGAGAUAUCUGCUGCUUUUUUUCCAGUUGGAUGAGAAUUCUUUGUAGGCAAUGUCUAAUGUUCUUGCAUCUUUUGUUUCCUUCUUGUACUGACAACAGCUUUCACUCCCAAGUUCACCCCAAGUUCGUGUAUUAUCUUUUUAGGCGAUGAUAAUGAUGGAAUAAAUGACUAGGGA